RNAcentral lists this ribosomal RNA (301 nucleotides) under uncultured bacterium. Its description in RNAcentral is "partial 16S ribosomal RNA". It matches the Rfam family "Bacterial small subunit ribosomal RNA", at positions 509 to 807 of the family's 1533-position model. The record is from RNAcentral.
CAGUAGCCGCGGUAAUACGUAGGGUGCAAGCGCUAAUCGGAAUUACUGGGCGUAAAGCGUGCGCAGGCGGUGUUGUAAGACUGAUGUGAAAUCCCCGGGCUCAACCUGGGAACUGCAUUGGUGACUGCAACGCUGGAGUGCGGCAGAGGGGGAUGGAAUUCCGCGUGUAGCAGUGAAAUGCGUAGAUAUGCGGAGGAACACCGAUGGCGAAGGCAAUCCCCUGGGCCUGCACUGACGCUCAUGCACGAAAGCGUGGGGAGCAAACAGGAUUAGAUACCCCCGUAGUCCCUGUCUCUUAUAC